Molecule: long non-coding RNA, 350 nt
Organism: Colossoma macropomum (tambaqui)
Lineage: Eukaryota; Metazoa; Chordata; Actinopteri; Characiformes; Serrasalmidae
Exons: 3
Source: RefSeq, a predicted model, not a curated record
GUGGGAUUAUGCACAGGAGCAUUGUGGGAAGGAAGGAGGGAGAUGAAGUCUAAAGCUUUCAUUCUGAGAUCAGAGACUUUGUUCAUCAUGUGAAAUUUACCUGAAACUCAAUAUUAUGUAGCUGCUUGAUGUCUGUAUUGAAUGUAGUUGAUGUGAUAAGAGUAUAAAAUCAGUCACUACCAGCAGAGAAAGAAGAAAACAUAGUAUUUACUUACCCCCAUUGCUGUGAAAUAAAACAGAAACACAAAGUUAAUAUUUUUACUAUUAUAAUACUUCAGUCUUUUUAACUCUUUAUCUCCUUAUUAUAAUCUCCUUUUCUCAUCUGUACUGUAGUUUUUCAUUGUUCACUA